This is a non-coding RNA of Aegilops tauschii subsp. strangulata, 4972 nucleotides long. The record is from RefSeq and is a predicted model, not a curated record. Lineage: Eukaryota; Viridiplantae; Streptophyta; Magnoliopsida; Poales; Poaceae.
CUCUCCUUUCCCACUCAGCCCCUCACCCCGACUCCCCUCUCUCUUCCUCCCGCCCCUCUCGCCGCCAUGCCUCCGCCUGCUGCAGCCGUCGCUGGUCUCGCGCCUCCCUCAGCCGCCGUCGCCUAUGCCUGUCCCGCGCCUCCCUCCGCCGCUCGCGCCGCCGCUUCCCCGUCGAGCUUCACGUCCUCGGGAGGAGAGGAAGCUAGCACUGCUCUUCCCGAGGGACGCGCCGUCGUGCCAUCGACAGGAGACGGCCAGGCAGAGCGCGCCGUCGCCACCGGCUGGCGCGUCGAUGGGAGGAGGCCAGGGUUAGGGUGCUCUCCUCCUCGCGCCUGUGGAUCUCCUGGCGCUGCGGGCUGCCGGAGCUGAAGCUUCUCCUCGCGCCGCAGCUGCCGGGCUCAAAUCUCUCCUGCACCUUGCAUCGCCGGCUGAUUGACUCAGAGCUCAUCCACCUCGCGCCCCCGAGCACUACUGCUUCCUCCUCCCUCGAUCUGAUCCUGCAACCUCCUGCUUGCUCUGGUGCUGCUGGUUAUUGCUGCUACUGCCAUGUGCCCCCGCAAGCUGCUGCUCCUAUCUGUGCACUUGUGCUGAUGCUAAUGUGUGGUGUUGGUCUACUAAGUACUAAGUACUGAACUACUAAUUGCUGCCUGUGUAACUUCUGUUGUCCAGUUGGUUGCUAGCUAUCGAUUUUGUUGUUGUACUGAUCUGUUCUUGCCCUGGACCUUUUAUUGUGUGGUGUGUAGGCUUGUAGUGAUUUGUUCUGAUGUACUGCUGGCACUGUGUUGGUUGUAGGAAUCAAAUCUGACAGGAAAUCAUUCAAAUCAGAAUGUCAACAUCGCAGAUAGUGUUCUCAGAUCAUAAUCAUGUGUUGCUUGAUGGCAAAUUGCUCUUUGUUGCCUGUAUCCCUACAAUUGUAUAGAAAACGCUUAAUUGCGCCUAAUCACGUCUAAGCUAGAAAAAGCGCAAGUAGGUGGCCAAACGCAUAAUUAACACCUAGCGUUUCUUUGAACUUUGAUUGUGAGGCCUCUUCUUGACAGCUGAUGCUUCCUUCAUGUGGGGUAUAAGAUGUUUUUGUAGAUUAUUUUCCUGUCCAAGCAGUUAUAUUUUCUGAUAGAUAGAUUGGAAAACACAACAGGAGUUUGGGUUUGUUUUCAUUUAGCAGAACACAUCAGUGGUCGAACUGAACUAGAAUACAAUGUGUAUUUUAGUUUAAGCAAUGUAGGAUUCACCGAUGUAUGUGAGAGCAACAUCUUUCGGGAAAUUUCAUUAAUUAAUUUUACUUCCAACUAAGUAUAUUUCUUUUGUUUCAAUAAGCAUUAUGCACAACUGAAGGACUGGCCGCGCAGCUGCUCCAGUUUCACCGCCUCUCUCUCUCUCUCUCUCUCUCUCUCUUAUCUUCUUGGAUUGCAGGUCAGCAGUGUCAUGGAGCCGGAUGAGGUCUCCCACCGUGUAGCUUGGAUGGAAUCUCCAGCAGAUCAGUGGCCAGAAUGACAUGCAGUAAAUGGUUCAGGUUUGAGCAAGGAAUGCAAAACUCUAGGAUUGAGCCCGUGCUGGUCUAUAUUUUAUAUUGGUUUUUGCACCCUGCAGCCAGUGGUAAGACACACAAUUCUGAUUUAAUUUUAUACUCUGGGCGAUUACCUUGAAUGGUUCGUCGCUGCACGUUUGCCAUACAUAUGCUCACCUAUAUAAUUCCUUGGUCACUAAAUAAUUAUAAGUGCCCUUUUAAUUCGUACUAAUAUUUCUAGGAUAAAUUAUUCACCUCAGAAGGCCCUGUUUCACUUUCCCUUUUCUUCUUUUGUCCUUCUGGAUCUUGCCUCCAUUUGCUGGUCUUUCAUUAUCUUUUAGCUAAUACUGUGAUCCUUGUAUUUGCGUACUUUAGAGUAUAUGUCCUGCAAAGAUACUGAAGCUUAACUUGAUGAGAGAAAGGAAAACACUUGGGAAUUUAAAGGUUUAGAUGAUUUUUCCAUGGUUAUUCAUGGUGUCAUUGCCGAUGUAAGCUUUGCCGACUCUUUACAUUUGUUUGAGCACGAUGUAUGUGCUUUCUGUGAGAGUUAGGUAGUAAAUCAACUCCAGAUGAUGUUGCCUGCUGCUGGAUAUGCGUUGUUUGGGAGUGAGGUACUAAAAACUGCAUAUUUCCUACAUCAUAAGGAAAUCAUAAAAUAUACACGCACUUGGUCGACUAACAAAGCUUGCACCUCAGAGCAGGUCUGGUUCAUGUUUUAGGGAGGUUAAAUAAAUUUCAGUCAGCCGCAAAGUAAUUGCUAACAUUGUUGCAUUUGACCAUCAGCAGAUCAUCAUAUAUAAUUUUUAGAACUAAUUGUAUUUCUGAUUCACUGGCUUCGCUACCGUUUUAGCUUAAUGAAAUCUUCCAGUUCCCAGCUAUGCGAGUCAUAAUAUAUUUGCAUAUAUUAGGUAUAACACAUGUAUUACCCUAUUUUUUGAUACACUAUCCCACUUAUACAUGUUAGUGUUUUUUUGUUGAAGUUCGGUCAUUAGAUUAAACAAUCUCUCUUGAUUCUGUAAGAUUCAUGGAUCGUUUUGAGCUGGUGAGCGACUUGCACUUCUUGAAUCUACUAACAAACCAGCAAAGGUGCACAUCCAUGCAAACCAGAUUGAGCAUAAGACACUGGCUGAGCUCUGUGCAAUGAGACCAUACCGGUUUUGCUUGAAGGUUUCGGAUGCACUGUUGUCAUAAAAAUAUGGUCCCUGUGGAGUCAUGGUGGUUUGUUGCCUGCAAUAGAUGUGGCAAAAAAUCUUUGCCACAUGGAGCUGGCUACUACUGCACUGCAUGUGGAUACAGAGGAAAGAAGUUUAGAAAAUACCAAAGGAAGACUCGUGGGAGUAUGGUUUGGCGAGCAGAGCUUUACUAGGACUGAGUAUGACGAACAAGCAUGGAGGCAAGAAAUUUCUUCUGAAAAUAGGCCUUGAGGACCAGGAGUCCAGGACCGUGAGACUCUUUUGGUACUGUUUCUUGGCAGUGACAGGUCGCUGUCUAUCAUCUCUCUCUCUCUGGCUGCCCCUCCUUCCAUUGACUUGGCAUGCUGGUCACCGCUGUGUCUCCCGAUGGCUCGUCCCUCGCCAUCGUCGGGAGGGUCGUGUGGGCCGUUCUACAUUGGAAUCCAUAUAACUUUGAAAAGGUCACCACUGUGCCGUCUCUCUCUCUCUCUCUCUCUGACCGCCCCUCCCAUCGUCUUGGUUUGCUGGUUGCCGCUGUGUCCCCUGCCGGUUCGCCCGUCGCCAUCGCUAGAAGGGUCGUGUAGGCCGCCGCUUAUGCCACUGCUCUGCAGUGACCAGUGAGGACCAUGGCAUCGAGACAGCCCAAAAGGGAAACACCGCCGGCCACAGCGCCGGUGGACCCUGUCUGCCGGCAACUGGAUACCGCCGCCGCGGCCACUGCUGUUAUCGCCCUCCCUGCCACCCCACGCUACCCUGCCAAACAGGCCCAGCUUGCAGGCACUGUCAACCUGAUGGAUGGUGAUGAUUUAAUAGUCAAGGGGCUUCCACAGGAUGCGUAGAUAGAGAUGACAUUGCUCAAAGGAAAGAUACCGUACAUGGCCGUGUUGAAGGAGUUGUGGCCUCUUGUCUCUGCCUCAAAUGUCGAUGAUGCCUCUAUGUACUAUCACUCCUAUGCCCUUUUUAUUUUGUUUGUUCAGUGAAUGUUGGAAUAAACGAUUUAUUCAGCUGGAUCUAUACAACUAUGAACUAUUUGUGCAAUCUUUUAUUUAAGCUUUGAAAUGAGGGAAUUAAAUGUUGGGUUUGGGCAAUGUCCUUCCAUGUUUUUUGUUGGUGUUCGAUUAUUGGUAUGAAUCUCCUUGCCGCACUACAGGCUAUCAUGACAUGAAGCCUUAAUCUACUACCAUUUAUGUAUUGUGAACGGGUGCAUAGGCCCUUGCUCUCGAGUGAUCGGUUUUUGCAAUGUCUAUUGCUUGCAUAUCAUGACAGCUCUUCCCUGAAUGAAUACCAUCUCAACAUGACCUUUUUCGUAAUUUACAUUUUUUCUAUACUUGAAAUGCUUCAAUGUUGUAUAAUCGGAUUGGAUACAACUACCUGGCAGCGGUGCUGCCGGGUGCGGCAAGCCGCACUUCCUAACUAGUUAAGGAGAGAAUGACCGGAUUAAACCGGCUCAUGCUGCACACAUCGAAGCCCUAUAUGUUGUUGCAUGUGUCUGAAUUGGUAAGUCUCAGAAAUCACAUGCCAUGUAUGGAAAGUCCUAAGAAAAUAAUUGCAUGUGUCAGAUUUGGCAAAUCUCAAGAAAAGAACGUGGCACGUACCGCACUUAUCGGUUUGAAAGUAUCAACAAAAAAAUGUUUUUGUUUGGUGUUGGCCGAUUUGAAUCAAAGCUGGAUUGGAUUUGGUAUUGUUUGUGUGUUCUCCACGUACUCGUAUUAGAGUCUUUCAUAAUAAACAAUCUUGGACUAAUAUAUAUACACCGGUUAGCACACAAAUGUCAAUAUGCGACUGCAUAAUAAGUCACCAGCUACAAAACACAUACAUUUAGAAGUCAUGGUCAUAGAGUCUGAUCUCGAUGAAGUUGUUGUUCUAGACCAGAAAGAAGACGCCAUGCUUAACGUUUCUGAAGGUGGACGCGCUGGAGGUGGUAUGGAGGAACAAUUUCAUCUAGAUUCAUACAAUAUAGAAAACUCUCAUGCUGCCAAGCAAUUUGGGUCGCUAUCUCCAGUCCUGGAUGCCAAAGAACACAAAGAAAUAAAAGAGAUAGAGAGCGGUAUGCACGAAUGACCAAUGAAGAAAAACAGGAGAAGCUGAAAAAGCGACGUCAGGCCUAUCAGCGAAACAAAACAAAUAAAGAUUCAACUCAGUUGAAAAAAAUUGCACCCCCAAGGGAGGAAGAAAUAUGCAAAUAUGGAGCUGGCACAAAAAACAAAAAAUGUGCAAGAGAAAGGCAGAAAUACGCAAAUAUGCAGCCAGAGCAAAAGAAAGCUAGAAUAGCGCAAAUUGCAGUUAACCGUGAAUU